This 76-nucleotide transfer RNA is filed under the name Candidatus Hydrogenedentota bacterium. RNAcentral's name for it is "Candidatus Hydrogenedentes bacterium (hot springs metagenome) tRNA-Ala". It matches the Rfam family "tRNA". Rfam says of the family: Transfer RNA (tRNA) molecules are approximately 80 nucleotides in length. Their secondary structure includes four short double-helical elements and three loops (D, anti-codon, and T loops). The record is from RNAcentral. RNAcentral also lists the same sequence under 2 other names. Lineage: Bacteria; Pseudomonadati; Candidatus Hydrogenedentota.
GGGGUCGUAGCUCAGUUGGGAGAGCGCAUGACUGGCAGUCAUGAGGUCGGGAGUUCGAUCCUCCUCGACUCCACCA